UACGAAGGGAGCUAGCGUUGUUCGGAAUCACUGGGCGUAAAGCGCACGUAGGCGGAUUUGCCAGUCAGGGGUGAAAUCCCGGGGCUCAACCUCGGAACUGCCUUUGAUACAGCAAGUCUUGAGUUCGAGAGAGGUGGGUGGAAUUCCUAGUGUAGAGGUGAAAUUCGUAGAUAUCCGGAGGAAUACCAGUGGCGAAGGCGGCACGCUGGGCCAUAACUGACGCUAAGACGCGAAAGCAUGGGUAGCGAACGGG
This 253-nucleotide ribosomal RNA is filed under the name uncultured bacterium. Its description in RNAcentral is "partial 16S ribosomal RNA". It matches the Rfam family "Bacterial small subunit ribosomal RNA", at positions 524 to 776 of the family's 1533-position model. The record is from RNAcentral.